RNAcentral lists this ribosomal RNA (526 nucleotides) under uncultured bacterium. RNAcentral's name for it is "bacterial SSU rRNA". It matches the Rfam family "Bacterial small subunit ribosomal RNA", at positions 777 to 1301 of the family's 1533-position model. The record is from RNAcentral.
AAUAGAUACCCCGGUAGUCCACGCCGUAAACGAUGAGUGCUAAGUGUUAGAGGGUUUCCGCCCUUUAGUGCUGCAGCUAACGCAUUAAGCACUCCGCCUGGGGAGUACGGUCGCAAGACUGAAACUCAAAGGAAUUGACGGGGGCCCGCACAAGCGGUGGAGCAUGUGGUUUAAUUCGAAGCAACGCGAAGAACCUUACCAGGUCUUGACAUCCUCUGACAACUCUAGAGAUAGAGUGUUCCCCUUCGGGGGACAGAGUGACAGGUGGUGCAUGGUUGUCGUCAGCUCGUGUCGUGAGAUGUUGGGUUAAGUCCCGCAACGAGCGCAACCCUUGAUCUUAGUUGCCAGCAUUUAGUUGGGCACUCUAAGGUGACUGCCGGUGACAAACCGGAGGAAGGUGGGGAUGACGUCAAAUCAUCAUGCCCCUUAUGACCUGGGCUACACACGUGCUACAAUGGAUGGUACAAAGAGCUGCAAACCCGCGAGGGUAAGCGAAUCUCAUAAAGCCAUUCUCAGUUCGGAUUGU